UACGUAGGGUGCGAGCGUUGUCCGGAAUUACUGGGCGUAAAGAGCUCGUAGGUGGUUUGUCGCGUUGUUCGUGAAAACUCACAGCUUAACUGUGGGCGUGCGGGCGAUACGGGCAGACUGGAGUACUGCAGGGGAGACUGGAAUUCCUGGUGUAGCGGUGAAAUGCGCAGAUAUCAGGAGGAACACCGGUGGCGAAGGCGGCGAUCUGGGAAGAUACUGACGCUGAGGUGCGAAAGCGUGGGGAGCGAACAGG
RNAcentral lists this ribosomal RNA (253 nucleotides) under uncultured bacterium. RNAcentral's name for it is "partial 16S ribosomal RNA". It matches the Rfam family "Bacterial small subunit ribosomal RNA", at positions 524 to 776 of the family's 1533-position model. The record is from RNAcentral.